RNAcentral lists this ribosomal RNA (982 nucleotides) under terrestrial metagenome. RNAcentral describes it as "bacterial SSU rRNA". It matches the Rfam family "Bacterial small subunit ribosomal RNA", at positions 304 to 1169 of the family's 1533-position model. The record is from RNAcentral.
UCCCCCAGAAUGGAACUGAGAUACGGUCCAUACACCUACGGGUGGCAGCAACCGGGAAUCUUGCGCAAUGGGCGAAAGCCUGACGCAGCGACACCGCGUGGAGGAUGAAGGCCUUCGGGUCGUAAACUCCUCUCUAAUAGUCCAUUGGAUUGUUAGUCAAAAAGCACCGGCUAACUACGUGCCAGCAGCUGCGGUAAUACGUAGGGUGCGAGCGUUGUCCGGAUUUACUGGGCGUAAAGAGUCUGUAGGCGGAUAAGUAGGUUAUUGGUUAAAGCCUCCGGCUCAACCGGAGAAAUGCUAAUAAUACCGUUUAUCUAGUCCUCGAGAGGGGGUGCUGGAACUUACUGUGUAGGGGUGAAAUCCGUUGAUACAGUAAGGAACACCAACGGCGAAGGCGGGCACCUGGAUCGAUGGAGACGCUGAGAGACGAAAGCUAGGGUAGCAAAUCGGAUUAGAGACCCGAGUAGUCCUAGCCCUAAAUGAUCCCUGCUAGAUGGUCGAUUUUGAUUCGUUCGGAUUGACUGUCGAAGGUAACCCAUUAAGCAGGGCGCCUGGGGAGUACGGUCGCAAGGCUGAAACUCAAAGGAAUUGGCGGGGAGGCGCACAACCAGUGGAGCAUGUGGUUUAAUUCGAUACAAAGCGAAGAACCUUACCUGGGUUUGACAUCCUUCCUUUUCCUGCUUUGGAAACAGAGCAAGGGGCUGUAUUUAUACAGCAAAGGUUGGACAGCUACUGCAUGGUUGUCGUCAGCUCGUGUCGUGAGAUGUUCCCUUAAGUGGGGUAACGAGCGCAACCCCUAUUCUGUGUUGGAUUUUCACAGGAGACGUUCUCGCCUCUUGCACACACUGCCCGUCAAAUGAGCAAAGCUGGGGGCAGCCGAAACCUCUCCUUUUUUAUAAAGGGGGGACUAAGCUGAACUUAGUGAUGAGCGUUAAGUCGUAAAAUUGUUGCGACCCAAGGAAGUAAUUCCUUGGAAAAAUCU